AAAAGGGGAGAGAGAAGCAGAAAAAUAGCUAACAGAUGUUAACUCCCCAAUGAAUCUCUUGAAUCCUUAACUUCAUAUCAGCAUCUGCUUCGGAGAAUCCAACCUAGACAAGGUCCAAGAUGUAAAGUAAUAGAACAUUGUUUAUAUUAUAAAAUGUUGUUAAAUGACUACAGCUGUCCUCUCAGGUGAGGAAAGAGUGAAGAUGGGCAAUAUAUAAAAUGGAGCCACUCUAACCAAGCUGCUAAAAUUAUUAACAUUAUGAAGGUUGAGGCAUGAGGAAAGACUCCAUUCUUGUUCUAACCAGCCUGGGAACGCAAACUUUGUUUGAACUUUCUAGUUCUAUGUCAAUGCCUGGGUAUACAUCUGGACCGCCAACUAACUAGAAAAUUAUCCCAUGAAGGGCUCAAUAUCCAGGCCAGCUGACUACCCUCUGAAGGACUCACAUAUACAUCUACCAGACAUCCAUUAUCCAGACCAGCCUGCGACUGACCAGACCUCCUGGUACGCAUCUUCCGGACCACCAGGCAUCCGUAAUCCUGACUGCCUGAUAUCUGAUUGAUAAUGUAGGACCAAUCAUAGGGCUAAGCGUACAGGACUGAUAGUUCUUAAGAAUGUACUUCUUACUAUAAGAACUUUUAAUUUUGCUUUCUUCUUUGGGACACUUCUG
Long non-coding RNA from Rhinolophus ferrumequinum (greater horseshoe bat), 667 nucleotides. RefSeq lists it as uncharacterized. Lineage: Eukaryota; Metazoa; Chordata; Mammalia; Chiroptera; Rhinolophidae. The record is from RefSeq and is a predicted model, not a curated record. The transcript is spliced from 3 exons.